RNAcentral lists this ribosomal RNA (394 nucleotides) under Hebeloma mesophaeum. Its description in RNAcentral is "LSU rRNA". It matches the Rfam family "Bacterial large subunit ribosomal RNA", at positions 1724 to 2075 of the family's 2925-position model. Lineage: Eukaryota; Fungi; Basidiomycota; Agaricomycetes; Agaricales; Hymenogastraceae. The record is from RNAcentral.
AUCCUCAUAAGUUUGCGACAAGAGGUACCAAAAAUAAUACUUAAAAGCAGUGAACAAAAAUAGUUUACUUAUUUGAUUUAUUAUUUUUUGGUGGCACAGAAUCGGAGGCCCCGACUGUUUACUAAAAACACAACACAGUGCAAUCAUUAGUAUGGUAGUAUACUGUGUGAAAUUUGCCCGAUGCCAUUAAUAUAAAAGAAGUUAUGGAUUAUUUAUAAUCUUGUGACUGAUUGAAAGUCUGGUUAAUAGCGGUCUUAACUAUGAGGAUCCUAAGGUAGCAAAAUCAGUUGGCCAUUAAAUGUGGUCCGGUAUCAAUAAUGUAACGAUGGUCUCACUGUCUCUACAACUUGCUCAGUGAAAUUGAAUUACGCGUGCAGAUGCGCGUUGCCUCCAG